Molecule: long non-coding RNA, 402 nt
Organism: Anguilla rostrata (American eel)
Lineage: Eukaryota; Metazoa; Chordata; Actinopteri; Anguilliformes; Anguillidae
Exons: 3
Source: RefSeq, a predicted model, not a curated record
GUAGCUGAACCUCAGUGAGCUAAUAUUAGCUAUGGGAAAUAGUUCUGUGAUCGUGAAGUAGACUUUGCUUGUCGAUCUCAUUUUCGAUUUUAUCACCUGAAAUUUCUGUUAAUUAGCUACAAAAAAUAAGGUGGAUGACAAUUGCUGGCAUUUACUGUUUCAUUUGAACAACAUGGAAUUUCUGGAUACUUCAGAUAGUGAAGGGACGGCAGUGGCGGACUCGGAGAGCGAUGUAGACGAUAAUUUAUACGCUAGCAGGUUAAUGUGUGCAGAUUCAUUUUCACUGUCACCGCGGUUGAAGGUAUCUUUUCGUGCCACUGAAUGUUCUCCAGUGAUAAAACCACUACCUCGCAGAAAACUGACUGAAGCGGAGAAGACUGCACUAAUUUCAAGAAAGGUAAA